CCUACCUCUGUUGCUUUGGCGGGCCGCGGUCCUCCGCGGUCCGCCCCCCUCCCCGGGGGGGUGGCCAGCGCCCGCCAGAGGACCAUCAAACUCCAGUCAGUAAACGAUGCAGUCUGAAAAACAUUUAAUAAACUAAAACUUUCAACAACGGAUCUCUUGGUUCUGGCAUCGAUGAAGAACGCAGCGAAAUGCGAUAAGUAAUGUGAAUUGCAGAAUUCAGUGAAUCAUCGAAUCUUUGAACGCACAUUGCGCCCUUUGGUAUUCCGAAGGGCAUGCCUGUUCGAGCGUCAUUACAACCCUCAAGCUCUGCUUGGUAUUGGGCACCGUCCUUUGCGGGCGCGCCUCAAAGACCUCGGCGGUGGCGUCUUGCCUCAAGCGUAGUAGAACAUACAUCUCGCUUCGGAGCGCAGGGCGUCGCCCGCCGGACGAACCUUCUGAACUUUUCUCAAGGUGACCUC
This 458-nucleotide ribosomal RNA is filed under the name Botryosphaeria dothidea. Its description in RNAcentral is "eukaryotic LSU rRNA". The stretch from base 137 to 290 matches the Rfam family "5.8S ribosomal RNA". The record is from RNAcentral. Lineage: Eukaryota; Fungi; Ascomycota; Dothideomycetes; Botryosphaeriales; Botryosphaeriaceae.